This 499-nucleotide long non-coding RNA is filed under the name Parus major (Great Tit). RNAcentral describes it as "lncRNA (ENSPMJG00000012064.1)". The record is from RNAcentral. Lineage: Eukaryota; Metazoa; Chordata; Aves; Passeriformes; Paridae.
UGGGAGGGGGAACAGAGAACAUUCGGGAACAAGGGGCAGGUAUCAGGGUGGACUGGCAACUGGGGUAGGAGGGCACAACUGGGACUAAACUAUUAACAAGGGUGUGGGGAGGUAAAACUUAACAAUACAGAAGGAUGCUCCUGAUUUCUGCUGAGUGGUGCACAUCCAAGACUUUUUGUGACUGGUGGGAAGGGACCUGAACACAUCCACAGUUCUCUCACAGGAGAGACAAAAACCCCACAGAAGAUCUAUAAUCUUAACCUGUUUGAACUUAUUUUUCUGUGUUUCCUUCAAGGAUGUUCACUCCCUGUGAGAUAAAUCAGCAUUGCUCAAGCCUUCCUCUGAAAUAUAGAACUUUGGAAACCUGAGGACUGAGCUUUCUAUAACAGCUUCUAGAAAACUUUCUUGUCCAAAGGCUCCUAGAAAAGUAAAAAAAUUAAAAUAUAUCAUCAGAGCAGUUGUAAGACUCUGGACAGUAGGAUGGACUGAGGAAACCUUC